CAAGGCUGAGGCGUGAUGACGAGGCACUACGGUGCUGAAGCAACAAAUGCCCUGCUUCCAGGAAAAGCCUCUAAGCAUCAGGUAACAUCAAAUCGUACCCCAAACCGACACAGGUGGUCAGGUAGAGAAUACCAAGGCGCUUGAGAGAACUCGGGUGAAGGAACUAGGCAAAAUGGUGCCGUAACUUCGGGAGAAGGCACGCUGAUAUGUAGGUGAAGUCCCUCGCGGAUGGAGCUGAAAUCAGUCGAAGAUACCAGCUGGCUGCAACUGUUUAUUAAAAACACAGCACUGUGCAAACACGAAAGUGGACGUAUACGGUGUGACGCCUGCCCGGUGCCGGAAGGUUAAUUGAUGGGGUUAGCCGCAAGGCGAAGCUCUUGAUCGAAGCCCCGGUAAACGGCGGCCGUAACUAUAACGGUCCUAAGGUAGCGAAAUUCCUUGUCGGGUAAGUUCCGACCUGCACGAAUGGCGUAAUGAUGGCCAGGCUGUCUCCACCCGAGACUCAGUGAAAUUGAACUCGCUGUGAAGAUGCAGUGUACCCGCGGCAAGACGGAAAGACCCCGUGAACCUUUACUAUAGCUUGACACUGAACAUUGAGCCUUGAUGUGUAGGAUAGGUGGGAGGCUUAGAAGUGUGGACGCCAGUCUGCAUGGAGCCGACCUUGAAAUACCACCCUUUAAUGUUUGAUGUUCUAACGUUGACCCGUAAUCCGGGUUGCGGACAGUGUCUGGUGGGUAGUUUGACUGGGGCGGUCUCCUCCUAAAGAGUAACGGAGGAGCACGAAGGUUGGCUAAUCCUGGUCGGACAUCAGGAGGUUAGUGCAAUGGCAUAAGCCAGCUUGACUGCGAGCGUGACGGCGCGAGCAGGUGCGAAAGCAGGUCAUAGUGAUCCGGUGGUUCUGAAUGGAAGGGCCAUCGCUCAACGGAUAAAAGGUACUCCGGGGAUAACAGGCUGAUACCGCCCAAGAGUUCAUAUCGACGGCGGUGUUUGGCACCUCGAUGUCGGCUCAUCACAUCCUGGGGCUGAAGUAGGUCCCAAGGGUAUGGCUGUUCGCCAUUUAAAGUGGUACGCGAGCUGGGUUUAGAACGUCGUGAGACAGUUCGGUCCCUAUCUGCCGUGGGCGCUGGAGAACUGAGGGGGGCUGCUCCUAGUACGAGAGGACCGGAGUGGACGCAUCACUGGUGUUCGGGUUGUCAUGCCAAUGGCACUGCCCGGUAGCUAAAUGCGGAAGAGAUAAGUGCUGAAAGCAUCUAAGCACGAAACUUGCCCCGAGAUGAGUUCUCCCUGACUCCUUGAGAGUCCUGAAGGAACGUUGAAGACGACGACGUUGAUAGGCCGGGUGUGUAAGCGCAGCGAUGCGUUGAGCUAACCGGUACUAAUGAACCGUGAGG
Molecule: ribosomal RNA, 1391 nt
Filed under: Escherichia coli
Lineage: Bacteria; Pseudomonadati; Pseudomonadota; Gammaproteobacteria; Enterobacterales; Enterobacteriaceae
Description: partial 23S ribosomal RNA
Rfam family: Bacterial large subunit ribosomal RNA
Source: RNAcentral